RNAcentral lists this transfer RNA (76 nucleotides) under Halogranum rubrum. RNAcentral's name for it is "tRNA_Lys_TTT". It matches the Rfam family "tRNA". Rfam says of the family: Transfer RNA (tRNA) molecules are approximately 80 nucleotides in length. Their secondary structure includes four short double-helical elements and three loops (D, anti-codon, and T loops). The record is from RNAcentral. Lineage: Archaea; Methanobacteriati; Methanobacteriota; Halobacteria; Halobacteriales; Haloferacaceae. RNAcentral also lists the same sequence under 1 other name.
GGGCCGGUAGCUCAGUUCGGCAGAGCGUCUGGCUUUUAUCACCAGACGGUCGGGGGUUCAAGUCCCUCCCGGCCCG